Non-coding RNA from Phasianus colchicus (ring-necked pheasant), 2698 nucleotides. NCBI's taxonomy places the organism in Eukaryota, Metazoa, Chordata, Aves, Galliformes, Phasianidae. The record is from RefSeq and is a predicted model, not a curated record.
GAUAAGAAAACAAAUUAGUCUGUUUUUCCUUUUGCUGUGUAGAAAAUAGAACACAAGCUACUGACCUGAAAGAUAGCAAUGCUGGUUGUCCUGUUUCAUGUAGUCCCCAAACAGUUGAUGUAGGGAUAACUUUUUUCCUAAAAGGAAACCAGCUCCCUUCAGAAAGCAGACUGAGAGGCGUAUGAGGCUUGUUGUGGUUGGCCUCUCUCCCAAAAACUCUUAAAGCGUGUACUUAGGCUUCUUUCCAUGGAUAUUUACAGAGGGAUGGUUUUUCAGAUGUGUUAAAUUACACUAAUCAUUCUUCAUGUGUUCUUAAGCAAUCAUCUCCCACUCCCCAAAAUAGUCAUUUACUUUAACACAGCGUACAUCCUUGCAAUGGCCUUUGUCUUUCAAGCCAUUUAGACAUUUCAAGUAUAACAGCAACUUUUUAUCUUGUUAUUUUUAGGGGAUCCUAAAGGGAUUUUUGGAAAUCUGGUGACACCUCUGCUACAUUCAGAGUUGAGAGACCCUUGCCUGAUCCAGUGUGAUUCACCUGAACUUCCCCAAAAUCAGGUGAAACAAGGCCACAAAAGAAUGGUAUAUUACAGAUUUACAAACACAGAGAGACUUUUUCAAACUGAACUGUAGUUAACCUGGCUCUGUGAAGAAACUUCACCACGUCACGAUGGUGAGUUCAGUUUAGUUUCCAUCCACCUCCCCCCAACCCUUUGGCUUUCAUGGCAUUAUUGUCUUUAAUAUAUGUUUUACCGGACAUAUCACAUUAAAUCUUUAUUGCCCUCAAAUCCAUUUACCUAUCUCAGAUAAGUAAAUGUAACCUUGUAAAACAGCUAUUAUUGAAAAUAUUAGCUUUAAAAACAUUAUUUGUGUUUACAAAGAAAUAUAGGAGUCACAUUUUCCACAGAGUCCAUCUACAGUAUUAGUAUUUUACUGUUAUAAUGCUCAGUAGCCUGUAGCAGUAACAAACUAGUGGCUAUUAAUGCUAAUGCAGUGUUCUCAUAGAAUAACUGUGUUCCUGCACUUUUACUGUAUUACAGACAAAUCUACAACAAAAAAAAGAUCAACUUUUUUCUCCAAACAAAAAAAAAAAAUGAAUGAUUACAAUAAAGGAAAGGGAAAAAUUAAAUAGCUACAUAUCAUUAACAAAUUAAUUGUUCCUCAAAAAAUACCUACAAAUUUCUCUGUACAUUCUUUACGCACAGCGUAACGAUGGUCUUAAAGUUACCUAUAUAAAAAAGUGUUUUUUAACAAUCUUCCUACAGAGAGUAGGGUACUGAAUGCCAAAGCAAGGAAGCGUUGACUACCCAGUAAGAUGGAAGUGAAAUGUGUAAAACUGGGGGCUUAGGGGUUUUUUUGUUGUUUUUUUUUUUCCUUUUUUUAAAAAUUUUUUUCAAAGAAAAUUGAGCAGCCACCUCUCAACAAGUCAGAGCCAAUCUCCUGAUCUUUCUACCCUGCACCUCUUCCAAAUUAAAUAGCUUAACUUUAAAAAAAAACAAAAAACAAAAAAAAACAAAAAACCAAACAACACCAAACAUAAAAGCCACAAUGGACCCAAUACUGUAACACAGUCCAUAAUACAUCACGUGUAGUUCAUCUUCCAACUAGUUCUAACUUUUUACACUGAACCAAUCCUUUCAGGUAACCCAGUAUAAAAACGAAGGCCUAGUUGCAACUGUACUGGGAAGAUGGAAUGUAUGGGGAGAGAAGUUAUACGUAACGAGGAGAAGCGCUUCGUACUAGCACAGCUGUGGGGUUUAUGCCUGCCUCUAUUGCCUAAUUUCUAGUUAGUAGCUAUUAAUACAAUAAAUGCGGUAAUACCUGUAUAAAGUUUUCUAAUGGAGGAAUGUAUGCUGCAACUUGGCAUAGGUUUAUGAAUAAGCUUACAAAAAUUAAAGAUCAUAUUUCACAAACUGUAACAAUCUGUUGUCCAGCCAAGAUACGCAACGGUAGCAGUUUCUGCAGCUAAUUAAAGGUGGACUACACAGACUUAGUUGUAGGAAGCAAGUUCUGCUAAGCAGACAGGGCUGCAGACAGAAACAACGACUCAGCCGUGCGCAAAGCUAUAGCAUCCUGUACCACGCAUCAUCUACUUCUAACCUGCGUCGUUUGAGGCCUGUCCUGAGGCUGUCCUCUUUUGCUGGCUGCUACUAAAGUGAAUAUCAAAUACAAAUAUCAUAGAGUACAACUGUACCAGCAGUAAGUAUAUCUAGGAUUGUUACUGACAAAAAUAAACUAAUUCUGAAGAAAAGCUAAUAAGUAUUAUGAUUCUUACUGUCUAUACAUUAAUAGAUACCAGCUAUUUUUCAUAAAACAUGCAUCGUUAAGCACUAUUGAACCCUCCAACCUCAGCUCUAUUCUAACAAACUGCAGUGUUUAGGAAAAAAUGCCCGUGUUCUGUAAAUUAUGCAGUCCAGUUGCAAGCACUAAGCACCUGAAAUCUAAAGAGAGAAAGACCUAUAACCUGUAUGAGACUUCCCCUUCCAAAGCUGUUUUGCUUUAAGAAAAAUCAAACUGAUAGAAAUGUCAUCCUUAAACCUUUUUCUUUUCAGCAGUUUGCCCUCAAAAUAUUAGCAUCUUUCCAGAAAGUUGCUAUGCAACUUCAGUCCUCCUCCAAUAGUGCAAAUCAUACAUGACAGUUCUUUUCAAGUAUAUACAUACAAAAUUACUUCACAGAGGGAGAAAAAAAAAAAAAAAAAAAAAA